AUGAACGCUAGCUACAGGCUUAACACAUGCAAGUCGAGGGGCAGCAUGAACAUAGCUUGCUAUGUUUGAUGGCGACCGGCGCACGGGUGCGUAACACGUAUCCAAUCUGCCCGUCACUCGGGGAUAGCCUUCUGAAAGGAAGAUUAAUACCCGAUGGCAUGCAUUUCCGGCAUCGGAGAUGCAUUAAAGAUUUUAUCGGUGACGGAUGAGGAUGCGUACGAUUAGCUUGUUGGCGGGGUAACGGCCCACCAAGGCAACGAUCGUUAGGGGUUCUGAGAGGAAGGUCCCCCACACUGGAACUGAGACACGGUCCAGACUCCUACGGGAGGCAGCAGUGAGGAAUAUUGGUCAAUGGCCGAGAGGCUGAACCAGCCAUGCCGCGUGAAGGUCACGGCCCUAUGGGUCUUAAACUUCUUUUGUAAGGGAGCAAUAAGGGUCACGUGUGGUCCGAUGAGAGUACCUUACGAAUAAGCAUCGGCUAACUCCGUG
This 489-nucleotide ribosomal RNA is filed under the name uncultured bacterium. RNAcentral describes it as "bacterial SSU rRNA". It matches the Rfam family "Bacterial small subunit ribosomal RNA", at positions 29 to 507 of the family's 1533-position model. The record is from RNAcentral.